GAUGAAGAACGUAGCGAAUUGCGAUAAGUAAUGUGAAUUGCAGAAUUACGUGAAUCAUCGAAUAUUUGAACGCAUAUUGCACUCUCUGGUAUUCCGGGGAGUAUGCCUGUUUGAGGGUCAGUAAAUAAUAAUUAUCAUAAUCUUUUGAUUGUGGAAUUGGGCCUUUAUUUCAUUUUAAUGAUUUAUGGUCUUAAAUUUAUGUUACCGCUUGUUUUAAUAUGAAAUUCGACCAAAUGGAGCAAUUAAACAUUCUCUCGUUAGGCGGAUUCAUCAAGCAAUUACGAUUUUUUGGCCGUCGAAGCACUUUUUUUUAGAAGUGCUUGGUCAAGAUUGUAAGAUACAUUUUUUAACAAUGACCUCAAAUCAGGCAAGAAUACCCGCUGAACUUAAGCAUAUCAAUAAGCGGAGGA
RNAcentral lists this unclassified non-coding RNA (410 nucleotides) under soil metagenome. RNAcentral's name for it is "partial contains 5.8S ribosomal RNA, internal transcribed spacer 2, and large subunit ribosomal RNA". The stretch from base 1 to 120 matches the Rfam family "5.8S ribosomal RNA", at positions 35 to 154 of the family's 154-position model. The record is from RNAcentral.